CGGUGGUAAAAACUCCGGUGGUAUGAGAUGGACCCGCGUCUGAUUAGCUAGUUGGUGGGGUAACGGCCUACCAAGGCGACGAUCAGUAGCCGACCUGAGAGGGUGACCGGCCACAUUGGGACUGAGACACGGCCCAAACUCCUACGGGAGGCAGCAGUGGGGAAUAUUGCACAAUGGGGGAAACCCUGAUGCAGCGACGCCGCGUGAAGGAUGAAGUAUUUCGGUAUGUAAACCUCUAUCAGCAGGGAAGAAAAUGACGGUACCUGACUAAGAAGCCCCGGCUAACUACGUGCCAGCAGCCGCGGUAAUACGUAGGGGGCAAGCGUUAUCCGGAUUUACUGGGUGUAAAGGGAGCGUAGACGGCAUGGCAAGUCUGAAGUGAAAGCCCGGGGCUCAACCCCGGGACUGCAUUGGAAACUGUCAGGCUAGAGUGCUGGAGAGGUAAGUGGAAUUCCUAGUGUAGCGGUGAAAUGCGUAGAUAUUAGGAGGAACACCAGUGGCGAAGGCGGCUUACUGGACAGUGACUGACGUUGAGGCUCGAAAGCGUGGGGAGCAAACAGGAUUAGAUACCCUGGUAGUCCACGCCGU
RNAcentral lists this ribosomal RNA (588 nucleotides) under uncultured bacterium. RNAcentral's name for it is "bacterial SSU rRNA". It matches the Rfam family "Bacterial small subunit ribosomal RNA", at positions 195 to 803 of the family's 1533-position model. The record is from RNAcentral.